UACGAAGGGGGGCUAGCGUUGCUCGGAAUCACUGGGCGUAAAGGGUGCGUAGGCGGGUCUUUAAGUCAGGGGUGAAAUCCUGGAGCUCAACUCCAGAACUGCCUUCGAUACUGAGAGUCUCGAGUCCGGGAGAGGUGAGUGGAACUGCGAGUGUAGAGGUGAAAUUCGUAGAUAUUCGCAAGAACACCAGUGGCGAAGGCGGCUCACUGGCCCGGUACUGACGCUGAGGUGCGAAAGCGUGGGGAGCAAACAGG
RNAcentral lists this ribosomal RNA (254 nucleotides) under uncultured bacterium. RNAcentral's name for it is "partial 16S ribosomal RNA". It matches the Rfam family "Bacterial small subunit ribosomal RNA", at positions 524 to 776 of the family's 1533-position model. The record is from RNAcentral.